GGCAGACGGGUGAGUAACGCGUGGGAAUCUACCCAUCCCUACGGAAUAGCUCCGGGAAACUGGAAUUAAUACCGUAUACGCCCUUCGGGGGAAAGAUUUAUCGGGGAUGGAUGAGCCCGCGUUUGAUUAGCUAGUUGGUGGGGUAAUGGCCUACCAAGGCGACGAUCAAUAGCUGGUCUGAGAGGAUGAUCAGCCACACUGGGACUGAGACACGGCCCAGACUCCUACGGGAGGCAGCAGUGGGGAAUAUUGGACAAUGGGCGAAAGCCUGAUCCAGCCAUGCCGCGUGAGUGAUGAAGGCCCUAGGGUUGUAAAGCUCUUUCAACGGUGAAGAUAAUGACGGUAGCCGUAGAAGAAGCCCCGGCUAACUUCGUGCCAGCAGCCGCGGUAAUACGAAGGGGGCUAGCGUUGUUCGGAAUUACUGGGCGUAAAGCGCACGUAGGCGGAUUGAUCAGUUGGGGGUGAAAUCCCAGGGCUCAACCCUGGAACUGCCUUCAAUACUGUCUGUCUAGAGGUCGAGAGAGGUGAGUGGAAUUCCGAGUGUAGAGGUGAAAUUCGUAGAUAUUCGGAGGAACACCAGUGGCGAAGGCGGCUCACUG
RNAcentral lists this ribosomal RNA (599 nucleotides) under Oricola cellulosilytica. RNAcentral's name for it is "bacterial SSU rRNA". It matches the Rfam family "Bacterial small subunit ribosomal RNA", at positions 97 to 731 of the family's 1533-position model. Lineage: Bacteria; Pseudomonadati; Pseudomonadota; Alphaproteobacteria; Hyphomicrobiales; Ahrensiaceae. The record is from RNAcentral.